This 878-nucleotide ribosomal RNA is filed under the name Aspicilia epiglypta. RNAcentral describes it as "SSU rRNA". It matches the Rfam family "Bacterial small subunit ribosomal RNA", at positions 398 to 1212 of the family's 1533-position model. The record is from RNAcentral. Lineage: Eukaryota; Fungi; Ascomycota; Lecanoromycetes; Pertusariales; Megasporaceae.
CACUUGGAGGAUGUAUAGCGAAAGCUAGUUGUAUUAACUUCGACUAGUUCGAGGUUAAUGCAGCAUCGACCAUGUCGAAUAAAGUUCUAGGUAGAGUUAUGAUAAUGACAUUUUCUAUCUAUGUGUCUUGACCAAGUCACGUGCCAGCAGUCGCGGUAAUACGUGGAAGACUAGUGUUAUUCAUCUUUAAUAGGUUUAAAGGGUACUUAGACGGUAAAUUUAGCCCAAAUAAAAACAAAGGGUACUAAUAAUACUAGAGUUUAAUGAGAGGGGGUGCGUACCAAUGGUGUAGAGAUGAAAUUCUGUCAUACCAUUAUGACGGGCAACGGCGAAAGCAACCCUUUAUGUAAAAACUGACGUUAAAGGACGAAGGCUUUGUGUCACCAACAGGAUUAGAUACCCAAGCAGUCUUAGCAGACAAUUCUGAAUGCCAUAGAUACGGAAAAAUAAAAAUAUUACCUUUUUAUUCUAAAAAUAAAAAAAAGGUAAAUAUUACCUUUUUAUUCAAUCUCUUUUUUUGUGAAGAUAAGAUAAGAAAAUAAUAAUAAAGGAUAUUCUUUGUCUAUAAAUGAAAGUGUAAGCAUUCCACCUCAAGAGUAAUGUGGCAACGCAGAAACUGAAAUCAUUAGACCGUUUCUGAAACCAGUAGUGAAGUAUGUUGUUUAAUUUGAUGGUCCGCACAAAACCUUACCACAAUUUGUAUAUUAUUAGCUUAGUACAAGAGUUGCACGGCUGUCUUCAGUUAAUGUCGUGAGAUUUGGUUAGUUCCAUAAAAAUUAACGUAAACCCUUACUUUAUUUAUAUUAUAAAGUAGUUCACCGCUAUAUUGGAUAUGAUAAAAGGGACUAAGACAAGUCAUCAUGGCCUGAAUAUUGUGG